CUCCGGUGAUUUCUGCCGGACCCGACUGCUAUCAGAGUGGGACUAAGCCAUGCGAGUCAACGUAGCAAUACGUGGCAUACGGCUCAGUAACACGUAGUCAACAUGCCCAGGGGACGAGGAUAACCUCGGGAAACUGAGGAUAAACCUCGAUAGGCCAUGAUUUCUGGAAUGAUUCUUGGCUCAAACCUAUAUGGCCCCUGGAUUGGACUGCGGCCGAUCAGGCUGUUGGUGAGGUAAUGGCCCACCAAACCUAUUACCGGUACGGGCUCUGAGAGGAGGAGCCCGGAGAUGGGCACUGAGACAAGGGCCCAGGCCCUAUGGGGCGCAGCAGGCGCGAAACCUCUGCAAUAGGCGAAAGCUUGACAGGGUUACUCUGAGUGAUUUCCGUUAAGGAGAUCUUUUGGCACCUCUAAAAAUGGUGCAGAAUAAGGGGUGGGCAAGUCUGGUGUCAGCCGCCGCGGUAAUACCAGCACCCCGAGUGGUCGGGACGUUUAUUGGGCCUAAAGCAUCCGUAGCCGGUUCUACAAGUCUUCCGUUAAAUCCACCUGCUUAACAGAUGGGCUGCGGAAGAUACUAUAGAGCUAGGAGGCGGGAGAGGCAAGCGGUACUCGAUGGGUAGGGGUAAAAUCCGUUGAUCCAUUGAAGACCACCAGUGGCGAAGGCGGCUUGCCAGAACGCGCUUGACGGUGGGGGAUGAAAGCUGGGGGAGCAAACCGGAUUAGAUACCCGGGUAGUCCCAGCUGUAAACGAUGCAGACUCGGUGAUGAGUUGGCUUAUUGCUAACUCAGUGCCGCAGGGAAGCCGUUAAGUUUGCCGCCUGGGGAGUACGGUCGCAAGACUGAAACUUAAAGGAAUUGGCGGGGGAGCA
Molecule: ribosomal RNA, 868 nt
Filed under: uncultured archaeon
Lineage: Archaea
Description: bacterial SSU rRNA
Rfam family: Archaeal small subunit ribosomal RNA
Source: RNAcentral